Molecule: long non-coding RNA, 404 nt
Filed under: Rattus norvegicus (Norway rat)
Lineage: Eukaryota; Metazoa; Chordata; Mammalia; Rodentia; Muridae
Description: long non-coding RNA NONRATT004080
Source: RNAcentral
GCGCGAGCAGGCGGCCAAGGCCCUGAGGUGCGGCCUGCCCCAGAACGCUGAGCAGCUGUCGCACCGCAGACGGGCCACGGCCGCCGCGGCAUCCAGCCCCGGCCCGCAUCAUGAGGUCCGCGGGCCCCUCCUGAACUGCGGCUGCCGGCGCAAGGGGCCUCGGGGAACCGGGGCCAUGCGCGGGCUGCGCUGACGAUGCCGCCCGGCGCGCCCGCUCGCCUGGCGCUGGCCCUAGGCCUGGGCCUGUGGCUCGGAGCGCUGGCCGGAGACCCUGGGCGCGGCUGCGGGCCUUGCCCGCUCCCCUGCUUUUGCAGCCCGGCGCCCGACGCUGCCUGCCGCGUCAAUUGCUCGGGUCGCUGGCUUCAGACACUCGGGCCGAGUCUGCGCAUCCCGGCUGACGCCAC